UACGCAGGGGGCUAGCGUUGUUCGGAAUUACUGGGCGUAAAGCGUGCGCAGGCGGCUUCUCAAGUCAGGGGUGAAGGCCCAGAGCUCAACUCUGGAACUGCCUUUGAGACUGAGAGGCUUGAGUACGGGAGAGGUGAGUGGAAUUCCCAGUGUAGAGGUGAAAUUCGUAGAUAUUGGGAAGAACACCGGUGGCGAAGGCGGCUCACUGGCCCGUAACUGACGCUCAUGCACGACAGCGUGGGGAUCAAACAGG
RNAcentral lists this ribosomal RNA (253 nucleotides) under uncultured bacterium. RNAcentral's name for it is "partial 16S ribosomal RNA". It matches the Rfam family "Bacterial small subunit ribosomal RNA", at positions 524 to 776 of the family's 1533-position model. The record is from RNAcentral.